Molecule: transfer RNA, 86 nt
Filed under: Planctomycetota bacterium
Lineage: Bacteria; Pseudomonadati; Planctomycetota
Description: Planctomycetes bacterium (bioreactor metagenome) tRNA-Ser
Rfam family: tRNA
About the family: Transfer RNA (tRNA) molecules are approximately 80 nucleotides in length. Their secondary structure includes four short double-helical elements and three loops (D, anti-codon, and T loops).
Source: RNAcentral
GGAAGGGCAAGCCGAUUGGCCGACGGCACCCGUCUCGAAAACGGGCGAGGCUCACGCCCUUGGGGGUUCGAUUCCCCCUCCUUCCG